AUACAAAACAGAUUGAAAUCUUCAAUAGGGUAUUCUCUUUCGGACAAGGACGACAUCUUGUACAUGAAAAGUAAAAAAUAUAUAAUACUUAAUAUAAAGUACAUGGGCACAAUAUUAGAAUAACAUGUCGAUUUUUAAAUGCUGUGCAUAAUUAGAGAUCUAAGAAUCCAGAGGUAUAGAAAUCUAGAGCACAUUUCAUGAGAUGAAAGUUAUAAAGGUGCAAAGUAAGCAUUUUUUUAUUUACGCACCAAUGAUCUUUAUUACAUUUUCGUAUUACACUCUACUAUAUCGACUGGAAUUAGUAAAUCACAGCGCUUCUGGUGGUUAUGAAUUUCUAAGAGAAGGGGAAUCCCAUAGCAACUUUGUACAUCCCUGAUGUACAUUUAUUCAGAAAGGGUUCUGAACGGUGUAAUCACAAAUGUGACCUUGCAUACUUGACCGAAACGUCGCAUUUGCUUGCACGUUC
RNAcentral lists this long non-coding RNA (466 nucleotides) under Megachile rotundata (alfalfa leafcutting bee). Its description in RNAcentral is "uncharacterized LOC105663151, transcript variant X1". The record is from RNAcentral. Lineage: Eukaryota; Metazoa; Arthropoda; Insecta; Hymenoptera; Megachilidae.